This 501-nucleotide ribosomal RNA is filed under the name uncultured bacterium. RNAcentral describes it as "SSU rRNA". It matches the Rfam family "Bacterial small subunit ribosomal RNA", at positions 26 to 521 of the family's 1533-position model. The record is from RNAcentral.
AGAACGAACGCUGGCGACGUGGAUAAGACAUGCAAGUCGAACGGGUUUAGUUUCGGAGCAAUUCGGAAUUAGGCCAGUGGCGAACGGGUGCGUAACACGUGAGUCAUCUGCCUGAAAGUGGGGGAUAGCUCGCCGAAAGGCGAAUUAAUACCGCAUGUGGUUGUAAGACCAAAGCCGGGGCAACCUGGCGCUUUUAGAGGAACUCGCGGCCUAUCAGCUUGUUGGUGAGGUAACGGCUUACCAAGGCUUCGACGGGUAGCUGGUCUGAGAGGACGACCAGCCACACUGGAACUGAGACACGGUCCAGACACCUACGGGUGGCAGCAGUCGAGAAUUUUUUCUCAAUGGGGGAAACCCUGAAGGAGCGACGCCGCGUGGAGGAUGAAUGCUUUCGGGUUGUAAACUCCUGUCAUUUGGGAACAAAGCCUUACGUUAACUGCGUGGAGGUUUGAUAGUACCGAAAGAGGAAGAGACGGCUAACUCUGCGCCAGCAGCCGCGGU